UUGAGGUAGGAUUUAGGGUGAUCUUUGGUUUUCUGUUGGAUGAUCUGGCGACGGACGCUUUGCGUGCGUUCAUGGUAGGCAAAAGAUUUGUGGUUCAUGAUUUGUGUGUUUUUUUAUGGGACCUUUUCAGUCUGGUUUUCGGUACAGCUCCGCAGAAAUCUUGAUUCUUGAAUAAGGGAAACCGUAGGUUUUAUACCUGUUGCUUAGAAAGAAUGUGCAAGAACAGAUAGAAAUAAGGGAAAGAAGGAGGACAGCAGCAAUGUGAUGAAGGAAGGAAGGAAUCGAAGAGGAUGGAGAAAAGGCAUCAUACGCAUCACACAAAACGAUGAACUCCGCUUUCAAGAACUCAUUUCGUCAUGCAACUUGGAUUCGAAGAAUUGAUUCCUUAUGACUUGAUAACUUUCCUUAUCCAUUCUAAACUCGAAAUAGAGUUCAUCAGAUGAAAUGGGAUUCUUGAUCCAAUUCUGAACCAGACAAUGACAUUUCUUGAAAGUGUUUGUUGGUCGCCUAAUUUUUACAUUUUUUGCAUUACUUUGUUUUCUUUUAGAAGACCUAUGCAUUUUAUUGCUUAGUUUUGCUUUUCCAUUUAAACGACAGGAUAUGAGGGGGAACAAAGCCUAGCAGCAUUAGAGAAUGCCAACAUAUGCAUAAGUUGCUGAUGGAUCUAAAGUUGAAAUUUAUGAUAUUAGGAAUUCCUUUUCUUUUGAUGAAGAGGACCUUCGAAAAUUAUGGGCAAAAUGUAUGUGCUCAUUUCUGCAAGAGUUAAAUGAUGCUGCUGGAGUUAAGUUCAUUGAUGAGUCUCCAGAAAACUUAAUCGAGAAAUUUUUUACUGAAUUUGCUUCAGUAAUAGCAAACAGGUCUCCUAAGCUUCAACUAGAGAUUUAAACCAAGGUUUCAAAUCUUGUUGCUGUGUUUAUAUUGGUUGAUGGCCAAAUCAGUACGCACGCAUUGAUGGAACAAAAAAGCAUAGGUUUGUACACCAAAUCCUAGGGAG
Long non-coding RNA from Musa acuminata AAA Group (dessert banana), 994 nucleotides. RefSeq lists it as uncharacterized. NCBI's taxonomy places the organism in Eukaryota, Viridiplantae, Streptophyta, Magnoliopsida, Zingiberales, Musaceae. The transcript has 3 exons. The record is from RefSeq and is a predicted model, not a curated record.